UACGUAGGGAGCGAGCGUUGUCCGGAGUUACUGGGUGUAAAGGGAGCGUAGGCGGGCUUGUAAGUUGAAUGUCUAAUCCACCGGCUCAACCGGUGAUCGCGUUCAAAACUGCAGGUCUUGAGUGAAGUAGAGGCAGGCGGAAUUCCUUGUGUAGCGGUGAAAUGCGUAGAUAUUAGGAGGAACACCAGUGGCGAAGGCGGCCUGCUGGGCUUUAACUGACGCUGAGGCUCGAAAGCGUGGGGAGCAAACAGG
RNAcentral lists this ribosomal RNA (252 nucleotides) under uncultured bacterium. RNAcentral describes it as "partial 16S ribosomal RNA". It matches the Rfam family "Bacterial small subunit ribosomal RNA", at positions 524 to 776 of the family's 1533-position model. The record is from RNAcentral.